This is a long non-coding RNA of Bombus impatiens (common eastern bumble bee), 419 nucleotides long. RefSeq lists it as uncharacterized. The transcript is spliced from 2 exons. The record is from RefSeq and is a predicted model, not a curated record. Lineage: Eukaryota; Metazoa; Arthropoda; Insecta; Hymenoptera; Apidae.
GUAAUUCUUCGGUUGACAAAAUGGUAAUUCUUCGGUUGACAAGAUGAUGAUUCUUCGGUUGACAAAAUGUGAUUCUUCGGUUGACAAAAUGGUAAUUCUUCGGUUGACAAAAUGAUGAUUCUUCGGUUGAAAAAAUGGUAAUUCUUCUAAUUAAGAAUCCGUUCGGCGUUUUUGUUUCAGAUGACCAGAAGGGUUGAAAUCAUGCACACUAGGACACCCUUCUUUUUUGGACCACUCACUUUGCCAGCUCAUAACUUUGCGAAUUUUGAGUUUUUCUUUCGAUUAAUUUUUUAUGUAAUCUUAAAAUAUCAAUAAACGAAUGAUAAAAAAAUGGAUAGUAAAAAUAUUUUUUGUUUCGUUUGUAUAGAGCUUCAAAAACCGUCCGAAAUUCAUGCCUCUAGACUAGAAUACCCCCUUAA